AACGGGAGUUUGGAAGGAUUCACAAUGGCAAGCCUGAUUCCUGAAGUUUUCUAGGUGAGCAUGGUUGUCUCCUUUUCAAGUUAACAACUUAUUUAUAUUAAUUUUGCUGCUAUUGAUUGUCAGUUGCAAGUUUCGCAAUUCAAUUUAUGUGUUACUACAUCUGGGAACGUGCGUUGCACGUUUAUCCCAAAAUACUUUAUAUAAAUUUUGUAUUGCAAAUAACAUAUUCUAUCCCCUCUAAAUCUAUAGUAUUUACUAAAAAAAAAUUCAUCACAUAUAUCUUUAUAAAUAUAUAUAUAUAUAUAUGAUUAUUAAAUUGACUAAAAGUGUAUAGAGUAAAAAUAACUUCCAAGUAAUAGUCAUCAGUUAGAUGAGAUAAUAGAUGUAGAUAGAGAUAUAGAAAUAUUCAAGCAAAAUAAAUUAAAAUUAUUAAAUCCACAAGUUCUAUAUAAUACAGGACUAUUUUCGUCAAUAGCACACUUAUACAGACAUUAUAGAGAAGAACAAUUGAGUGUAUCAGAAAACGAUAGUGAAAGUAUAAAUUUAAUUAGUAAAUAAUCUAUGCAAGAAAUACAAAAAAGACGAAUGAAUCUCAUGCAUAUGAGAUUGGUAGUAAUCGGACUUAAAGGUUUAACUAGAAAAAAUUUAGGUACUAAAGUAUUAAUCACUUUAUAUGAUAGUAGAUGGUCAGAAUCUAAAAGAUCCAUAAUAGGUUUAACAGAAGUCGACAUGAGUAAUAAUGGAGGAAUUUUUUACUGUAGUCCAGAUUUCAUGAUAAAUUCAAAAGAAUUUGGAAAAUACAUAAAAAUAGGCAUACAAACCAAGGGUUACGAAGAAAUGAACUGUGGAAACAAUCUAUUAGUUUGUGUUGGCUUCAUAGGAAAAUUAGCAACCAACAGUAGUUCAAGGUUUAAAAUAAAAAUAGACAAUGCGGUAGGCAUAAUGGGAAAUAAAGGAAUAAAAUUAAUGAAACUUUUAAAAAUAAAUUCAGAAGAAUAUGCAGGUAGAGAAUGGAAUUUAGAAAAAUUCUAUAAAAAAGAAGUGUUAAGACCAAAUGACCACCUCACAUACACAAAUAAUAAAGGUGAGACAUCAAUCAGAUUCACUGAUUAUAAAUAUACAAAUCAAAAGAAAUAGAUGAAGAUUUAGAAGAUAAUGAAUCAACCAUAAAUAUGGAAGGAAUGAAUGUUCAGAUCAAUAAAGAAGAAGACUAUGAAGUAGAUAUAUCAAUAGCAAAAGCUAAAGAAAUACACAAGUCAAAUAAAGAAAAUUUAUUUAAAUGUAAAGGAUGUAAACUAGGAAAACUAAAAUUUUCUAUAGUAGAAAAACACUUCAAAGAGUGUAAUUUUAGAACAGACAAUUAUGGAUUUCGCCAGAAAGAAAAAACACAGGAAGAAAGUGAUGAUGAAACAACACGUAGUUUAAAAGAAUUAGAUGAAAGCGAUGAUGAAACAACACGCAGUUUAAAAGAAUUUAUGGAAACCGCUUCUUCAAGCUCAAGUCCCUUCCAAAAGACAACCCCAAUACCACCAAUAGAAUAUACUAUAGGUAAUUUACCACAACACCGUGUAUUUAGACAAGACCCGAUGACAGAACCAGAAAUGGUUAGACCUAUAGGAAUAAUAAUGCCAAUAGAAGCCCCCAUCAAACUCCAAGACAGGGGAGAUAGAUGAAAAAUACUAAAUAUAUCGGCUCAUGACCCUCAAUUAUGGAACUCAGUACUAGAUGUAUGGAAAGGAGUAGUAGUAGCAGACAACAUACACCAUUAUAGUGAAACAGAUGCAGAAACUAUGUAUAGAUACAUGGAAACCUUUCUAGGAGAAUCAAUCAAAGGAGUAUGGGAAGAAUAUAAGGUAGCUUACCCUCAAGAAUUCCAAGAACUAGUAAAUAUAGGACCAAACUCGUAUAAUUUUACUAAUAAAAUACACAGCCUGAUAACAGGAGAAGACCCAAAUAGCGGAUUAGUAGUGUUACAAAAGAAUGCACUAAUAAAAUUAGAACAACUUAGCAAAACAAAUUGGAGUCAUAUAAAGAAUUUUUUAAAAGACUAUUUUUACUAUUGCGCUAUAAGCGGUAAUGCGUUUGACCAAAGCUUGGGGAAAAAACUUUUUAACAAACUCCCUGGAGCCUUAGGAAGAGAAAUAGAGGAAAGAUGGAACAAAAGAGAGGGAGUAAUGACAAAACCCAAAUGCCAACUGGUCUAUAGGACAUAAAAUACAACAUGUCAUGGAAAUAUUACAAGAGAAAUGUACAAAUAUACAAAUACAAAAAUAAUUAAAACAAAAUGAGACUAGUUUUUGUAAGAAUAUAUAUACAACACAAAGCUAUGAUCAAAGUACACCAAAAAGAAAAUACAGAAAGACAUAUCAAAAUAACCAAGACUACAAACCUAGGAAAAGGUAUUAUCUAAGAAAAUCUACGGCAAAAAAACCUUACCUAAAUAAAGAUAGACAUGUAAGAAAACAAUAAUAAUAAUAAUAGAAUUUACAAAAAUAAGACUAUCUUGUUUUACUAUGUGGAAGUGAAGAACAUCUAGCUAAUACUUGUCCAGGUAGAAAUAAUAGUAGAACAAGAAAUGCCCAACUUAUAGAAGACUUCCAAGAAACCCUGAUAAAUGUAGAUGAAUACAAGUCAGAUAAUGAGAGCAUAUAUUUAGUAAUAAGCAUAGAUGCUAUAGAAGGAAGACAACAAGAUUCGUCUGAUUCAGAAGAAGAAACUUUAAUAAACGAGAUAGGAUUAGAAAAAUUAGACUUAAACAUGAAAGAUUUUACCUUUGUUAAUAUACAAUGCGAUCACCAAUUCUCCAAAGCAAAAGGGUUAGAUAGUCAAAAAUGCUUUAAUUGCACAUGAUACCCCAGUAAAGACAGAAGAGCUAAAUGUAUGAACUGCUAUGUAGAGGGAUGCCUUAUGUGCAUCGACAUGAUAUUUAACAUAAAAGUUAUAGACCAAACAAGAAGUACAAAAGAAAAAACAUUAAUAUCUUUAGAAAAAAGGAUUGAUAAUUUAGAGGACAGAAUAAGUAAAUUAGAAAAGGGAAAAGAAAAAUUAGAAGAGGGAACCAACCAAAACACAACGCCAAAAGAGGAAAUCGAGCUCUUAAAUGAAAAGGAGGACUAUAAAUCAUUUGAGGGAUUAAUUUGUAAUGAAGACAAGAAAAUUAAUACUAUCAAAAUAUUAACAAGAAUAAGAAUUCAAGACUACGAAAUAGAAACUUUAGCUCUAGUAGACUCUGGAUGUAAAAGUAUAAUAGAUAGAAGUAUCCUGCCUCUAGAUAUAAUAAAAUAAUUUCCAGAGCCACAAAGCGCCAUGCAAAUGGAUGGAUCUUCAAAUGUAUAUAAACAUUAUGUUAGUAAUGCUCAAAUAAGUUUUUUAAAUACAUGUGAAAACUUUUAUAAACACAUGUAUAGAUUAGAAAAAAUAUGGGUUAGAGACUUAAAUAUUAUAGUAGACUUUGUUUUAGGUUUAGACUUCUUAUUACAUAACAACGGAUGUUGUCGCCUUACUAGAGACGGAGUAAUAUUCUCUAAAAAUAUGACUCAUACCUCAAUAACAACAGAAUCGUUUCCAACGAAAUCUAGGUAUCUUAAAAAUACUGAUAAACUUAAUACAAACACUUCAAAAUGUAAUAAAGGAGAAGAAUGUAAUUAUACUAAGAUACAUGUUAUUGAAGAAGAAAUUGAAUUAUUAGAGCUAAGUUUAUCUGAUAUACAACUAGAGAAAAGUUAUAACUUAAUAGAAAUAAAUACAGAAUUUUAUAAUUUCAAAAAAGGAUUACAACAUAUAGGAGUCAUAAAAAAUCAAAAAGACCUAGAGGAGGUAAUUUCCAUCUUAGAUAAAUUAGAGAUAAUUGGAGAAAGACCUUUAAAGCACUGGGAAGCCAAUCAUAUAACUUGCAGACUGGAUAUCAUUAACCCAGAAUAUACUGUUAAAACUGAUUCAAUAGAAUCCACAAAUGAAGACCUAAAGGAAUUUGAAGAUCAGAUAAAAGAAUUACUAAAUUAGGGAGUGAUAAGAAGAUCAACUUCAAGACAUAGGUCAUCAACAUUUGUGGUAAGAAAUCAUAAUGAAAUAUUAAGAGGAAAAGCUAGAAUGGUAAUAAACUAUAAAAGACUUAAUGACAAUACCAAAAUGGAUGGAUAUAAGUUGCCAGAAAGAUCAAAAUUAAUAAAUCGAAUGCAAGGAAGAAUUUUUUUUAGUAAGUUUGAUUGUAAAUUCGAAUACUGGCAAGUCAAAAUGUAUGAAGACAGUAUAGAAUAGAAAACUUUCACUUGCCCAGAAGGACAUUUCGAAUGGUUGGUAAUGCCCUUCGAUUUAAAAACAGCUCCUCCGAUCUUUCAGAGAAAGAUGGACAAUAUAUUUAGAGAUUAUAAAAAUUUUAUUUUAGUAUAUGUAGACGAUAUCUUAGUAUUUAGUAAUAAUGCCAACAAACAUCUAAGACAUUUACAAACGGUGUUUAAAUUAUUUGUAGACAAUGGAAUUAUAAUUAGCAAAAAGAAAAUGGAAUUAUGUAAAAAACUAACAGUGGUUUCUCCUCCAACAGUCAAGUAACUAGCACUGGUUAUUCCAGCAAGAGCUCUUACUCUAACAGAACUAGUACCGUCAACUCCAAUUGUAGCAGCAGGAAUGUCUUCACCACCAGAUAAAUCUUAUAAAAUUCCUAGGGGUAGAAAUUGGAAAUGGAAAGAUAAAAUUACAACCCCAUAUAGCAAAAAAGGUUCUCGACAUGCUUGAUAAAUUAGAUAAUACUAAAGACUUACAAAAAUUUCUAGGAAUAUUAAAUUAUGCACGAAGUUUUAUAAAAGACCUAGGAAAAGUAACAGGACCCUUAUAUUCUAAAACAGGAAUUCAUAGGCAGAAGACAUUCAAUAUGGAAGACAUAAAAUUAGUACAAAAGCUUAAACAAAUGGUUAAAAAUAUACCAGAUCUAGCCCUCCCACUAAAAACUGACUGCCCAAUAGUGGAAACCGACAAAAGUCUAGAAGGAUGGGGAGCAGAAUUAAAAACAAAGAACAAUAAAUAUAUAGAAAAGAAAGACGAAAAAAUUUACGCCUAUCACAGUGAAAAAUACAAGGAAAAAGGAAACAUGAGUAGCAUAGAUGCAGAAAUUCUAGUAGUCAUAUAUGGACUAAAUAGCUUUAAAUUAUUUAUUAUUAAUAAAAAAGAAAUUUUAGUAAGAACUGACUGCAAAGCUUUUGUAAAAUUCCACCAGAAAAUAGAAGGAAAAAAUAGUAGUAAGAGAAGAUGGCUAAAUUUUUUAGACGCUACAUCAAUAUACAAUAUAUUUUUAGAAUAUAUAAACGGAAAAGAUAAUUCCUUAGCAGAUCAACUAAGCAGACUCAUGAAAACUAAUUAUUUAUUUUCAGAAUGAGUACAUGUAAGAACAAAGACAAGGCAUCCAGUUCAAGUUCAAGUAAUAGUGGGCAAAAAGACAAAGAUAUAUACUUAUAGACAUUAUUGGGAAACACUUCGUUUAGACCACAUACAAGAGAAGAAGAUGCAAGGAUAAAUACUCCUAUAGAAAGACUAUACUUUGGAAGACAAAAUUUAAUAUUUUAUCCUCCAUCUAAUUUAAGUUUCAGAGUAAAGCCAGAAACAAAAAUAGAUAAACAUCAAAGAUGUUUGAUAGACAAUCUAUGGAUAGCAUAUAACAAAAUUUUGAAAGACAAUAGCUAUUUUAUUUCAGUAUUAAACUCAGUAAGUUAUUAUUUUACGGAGAAAAAUGAAGACAAAAAGUUUAAAUUCUACGUAGUAGUUCGAGGAAAGCUAGCAGGCAUCUUCCAGACUUGGAUCGAGGUGAUAGACUCAAUUAAAGACUUUCCUACCCCAUUUUUCAAAGGAUUCAACGAUUUAAAUAAAGCACUAGACUAUGCUAGAGGAACUCUUGGGCCAAAUUAUUUCAUAAGCCCAGCUUUAAGACAAACUUCAAGACCUUUCCUGCAAUACAAUAUUCGAAAGGAUACUGACAAGAUAAUCUUCUGCGAUCAUUGUUCUUCAAUGACUGAAGGAUUCAAAAUACUAAACCAGACAAUUGAGAAACUAGAGACUGAGAAAGGGGAACUGACACAACAUAUCCACUCAUUACAAGAAAAAAUAAGGUUCUUCCUUGGAAAUACUAAUCAAACCAUACCAUUACAAAUACAAGACUACUCAAAAGGACCAAAGAGUUCUCCAUCUCAUCUUAAAAUGGAUAAGACGGGUGUUCAUCCUCCAACGAAUGUAGAAAGAGCUAUUGUAUCAGCUAAAUGUACAACUAGUCCCGUUCAAAUGGUAGCGGGUAAAGAUUCAUCAAAUCCGUUGAUGGCUGACACUUUGCCAAAAAGUGUUAAAAACAAAUUUGAAAAUAUUUGUUAAAAACAAACUUAAUUUUUUUGAAAUUGGGGGGUGGGGGGUCGCGGGUAGGGAGUGGNNNNNNNNNNNNNNNNNNNNNNNNNNNNNNNNNNNNNNNNNNNNNNNNNNNNNNNNNNNNNNNNGGGGAGGGGGUCGAGGGUAGGGGUGGGGUGGGAUGAAAAAUAAAAAAUUUAAAUUGGAAAUAUUUUUUUAAAAAAAAUUAUUUUUUUUGUGGGGGGGAGGGGUAGGGGGUGAGGUAAAAAAAUUUAAAAUUGAAGGCUUUAAAUUUAUUUUUUUCAACAAAAAAAUAAUAAUUGUAAUUUGAAGUUGGAGAGAGUUUUGGAAAACGUUUUUCUUAAUUUUUUGAAAGUAAGUCAUUUUCCUUAAAUUUGAGAAAAAUGAGUUAAUUUGAAAAUCAUUCUCCAAAACGUUUUACCCAACCAAAUAUGAUAAAAUUGAAAUACAUUUUCCGAAAAUGUUUUCCUUCAUACCAAACACACCCAAUAUGAUGAAUCAAUGAUGGAUUAUGGUGAAAUUUACUUUUUUCAUAGAAAAAUAUCAAAGAAUUAUACUAUUCAUGUUUGAUAAAAUAUCCUUCAAUAAGACCUGGUGAAUAUCAUAUGUCUCUGUUUCGAUGCAUCUUAUAAAUCCUAUUGAAAUUCUGUGAGGUUGCUCGUGUCCUUUGGUUGGUGGGCUUAAUUUUUUGAACUGUGAAUGCAUCUUAACAUAAUUUUGAUUUUUGAUGGGUUCUCCAAAUCUAACAAUUUUAUUUGGGAUCCCUUUUUUUAGGGGGAAAGUCUCAAAUGGGAAAUAAAGUUGGCACUUUGAAGAUUUUGAAGCUAGAAUUUGUGAGCUCUCUCUUUGUCUACACAAAUUUCAAACGGCCUGUUAUAGCUUCAAGGUAAUCGUCUUCGGAAAUUUGAAUUCUUUUGGUUCUUAUUUUAAUCUUGCACAAAAGUGUAACAUUUACCCUUUGUUUGGAUCAUUGUUACCCAUUAUAUUGUAUCGUUACUAUACCUACAAUGUUUGUUUUGAUUAUUACUUAAAAUAUAUUGUAUUGUAUUGUUAAAUUUCGUUGUUACGUAACAAUGAAAACCUCUAUUUUAUGGAACAACCAAUUUGGUGUGUUCCCAAUUGUUACUUAAUUUCUUUUUCCAAUUAUAUCUUUUACAUAAUAUUUCAAAAUACUAUUUUAUCCUUUACCUUAUAUUAUUUAAUUCUAAUCAAACCUCCUACUCUACAUAUAUACAAAUGGCUUACAUAUACCAUUUUCCUCUAACAGAGAUGAAAAAAAUUAAUUUUAGUUUAAUUUUUUUUAAAAAAAAAAAAACUAUAAUCCCAUAUGAGUAUAUUUAAUCCUCCUCAAACAUAUAUUUUUUUUGUUUCAAUGACUAAUUUAAAUUUAUUAUUUUAAUGGUCAAAUUUAUUUAUGUUUCACUAAUAUUCUUGUAAAACUUAUUAUUGUUUACAUCUCCGCUUUAUUCAAAUAGGGCGAAACGUCCUGAUGACUCAAAAAAUAAACAAUUGAUUCAAUUUUAAAUUUUUUUUAAGAAAAUAAGAAUUUUAAAGGAGUCACCACCUAAUUUUAGGAAACCAAUUAAAUGAUCUACGAAACCAAGAAAUUUUAGGUAAGGGGUUCAAGUUAAUUCGAAGGAAAAGUGUUAGGCAUCAUUCGAAAUUCACAAUUGUGAGUUCCGACCGAAUUCAUUUUUUCAAAUUGAGGAGGAAGUAAAAAUAGUAUACAAAUAUAACAAACAUACAAUAUACACAAGUAAUAUGAGAAACGACCUAAUAUUUGCCUAUCAUCAAUAAUAUACAUAAUAAUGAUUAUAAUAUUCGAACUUUAUUCGAAUGGCUUCGAUGAGAAACGACUUCGGGGUACCUAUAAAGACACUUAAUAAAAGUGUUAAUACUAAAUAUAUAUGAAUAAAAAUAAAUAAAGCAAAUAAUAACUUAAAAAUAAAAACUCAUCUUAUUAACAUAGGAGGCCUUAGAAAUAGACUGUAAUUUCUUCAUCGGCCAAUUUUAACAAAUAAAAUAUACAAACUUAAAUUAAAUUUUCGUCUUUUGCAAUGUAGAGGCCUCCAAAACCGACGGAAAUUUUUUUUCAUUAGGCAAAUUAUAGCAUUUACUUAACAUGAAUUAAGGAAAUAAUCCUAUAGUAAAAUUGACAAAACCCUUCGGGGUGGCCCAGUGGUUUGGGCUUGGGACUUCCAUGUUGGAGGUCUCAAGUUCGAAACCCCUUGCCAGCGAAAGCAAGGGUUUGCCCUCUGGGUCGAGCUCAUCGCACCGGGCUUGCCUAGUGCGGGUUACCUCUCCUAUGUGGUUUGCGAGCUAUUGCAUAAGAGCGGGGGUUUUACCCUGUGCGCAUCCAAAGGGUAGCAGCUGCGGGUUUCCCUUGUCAUCAAAAAAAAUAAAAUUGACAAACAUUAUAUUUAAACUAGCUCAAAAAGAAUAACAAAUUAAUAACGGACAAUGCACAGAUAAUGAUAAAAUAAUUUCGACACUUUUCUAAAAAAAACAACUACUAGUGCUAACAACAUCAAAGAAAUAAAUAAAUUAAGAAGAAUAAUGGAAGUAAAAUCUGUAAUCUAAACAAAAAUAAAAAUAAAAAAUGAAACCGAACACCACAAUCACAAUAGUAUCUAAAUGAAGUAUAAUCUGUAACCGAUUAAAAUAAUAAUAACAAUAAUAAACAAAAGAGGAAACAAAGGCAUAAUAAUAACAAUAAAAUAAAUCCACAACUUAGAGAAAAUUACAAUACUCAACCUUCUUUAAUUAAUAAUUAGAAAUUACCAUUAUGUGCCACUUUAUACGAAUUGAGAGAAUUAACCACAAAUAAAUAGACUAAUCAAGAAUAGCUAACUAUAGUAUCCAAAAUAAACUAAACAAAAAUAAUGGAUUCGAAAGCACAUUCAUAAACUGUAAACGUAAACAAUAAUAAAAAGAAAUCAAGGAAUAACAGAUACAAAAAUUACCGAUCCCGGUCUGGUUCCUGGCGACUUCGUUGUUUUGAGCUACUAUUCGCCGGAGUUGUUUUGCCAGAGUUCGGAAUGUUGGUUGUUGUUAUUGUUACCUCCUGGAGGAGCUCGUGGGUGGAGCUGGUGUGGUCAGCCUCUGGUUUCGAUGAGUUGGAGCUUGGAGCUCACUGGCUGUUGUUCGCCUGGGCUUCGUGGGUUUUGAGCUACUUCUUGCUGGGGUUGCUGGUUCAACGAGCAAAGGGGAGAACGAGGAUGGGGUUUUGGGUUGGUUUCGCCGGAAAAAGGGUGAAGAGAGUUGGGGUCUUAGUGGUGGUUUUGGUGGUGAUUUUGGCUGAAGGGUGGUGGCGUUUGGGUGGGUUGGAGAGCUGCUGGUUGCAGCAGAGAAAACAGGAGGGGUUUUGGGUCUGUUUGGUUGGCUGAUUUUGUGGAUUUGGGGUCUAUUUGGAUCGUGGUUUUGCCGGAAAAAGAGGUGAACGGAGAUGGUUUGUUGGGUUGGAGUUUCUCGGAGGUUGUUUGGUUGUUGUUAAUGGUUGUUUUCGGUGGCUUUUGGUCUUUGGUGGUGGCUGGAUUGUUGCUGGAAACGAAAAGGGGGGUGAGCACUGGCUCGCCGGAAAUGGAGUUUGAGUGGUGAUGAGGAAGGAGGGUGGCGGCAGCUUUGACAAGAUGAUAGAAAAAUCGUUUUUGGUUUCAGUCAUUUUGAAAUUUUUCACCACUUGGACUAAAAAUAUUGUUCAUCCUCUUCACUUAAUGAAUAAGCUAUUGUUUAUAUAGAAAAUUGAAAAUUAUCUAUAGUAUAAUACGAUUAUCUUAAAAUCAUGGGCUGAAACCAUUAGUUAAAUAAAAUAUUUGUAUAUAAAUCUUAUUUAUAUUUGAAUCAAUUUUUAGACAGUGCAAAAUAUCAAAAUUAAUAUUAGCAAAUGUAACAAAUAAAAAUGAAUAUUAUUAAAAAAAAGGAAAGUAAUGAACGUAACAAAUGACAUGUAUAAAGUGCAAUUUAAUAGAAAUAACUAUUUAAUCAAGAUGAACAAAUAUUUGAACGUAUUUAACCAGCUAUGACAAAAAAUAAUGAAAUUAAAAUUAACUGAUAAAAAAUCCUAAAUUUUGACAAAUAAAAAUAAUUAUCGAUAAACUUAUUUAAAAUUAUAAAAAAUGUAUUUUGAACAAUUAAAUAAAUAAAACUUAAAAGUUACGAAUUUUGAAAAUGUUAGGUCAAAAUUGGGUGUCAACAAUUAUAGAUGACCUUUUUUUUUUCUUCAAAUACAAAAAUUAAAUUACAAUAUAGACAAAAAAAAAAUUGUUUUAAAUUAUAAUAUAGCUGCAAAAAAAUAGUUUUAAUUUUUUUUUCUUUACACCAAGGAAUGAAAGAAAAAAUAAAAUAAGAAUAAGAAACUAAAAUAAUGAAAAUCAAAGAAGUCAAAAAAUAAUUUAUGUAUGAAAAAAAUUGAAAUAUACCUUGAACUUUGCAGAAGAAUCUUAUAUAUCCCUAAAUGAUUUUUAAAACAAUUAAAAGUCAAAAAUAUAAAUUUAAAAUUAAUUUUUUCACUUCCGUUAAAUGAAGAUAUAUGUGAGCUCAUUUUGUAACGAUAGGGUAUAUGUGAGCCGUUUAUAUAACAACAAAGGUAUAUAUGAGUCACUUUCAUAACGAGGACAUAUCAACUCUAAAUAAAAAAAUUGACAGGUAUAUCAGACCCUUUUCCCUAGAAAAAAUAAUACCUUAGAGAAAAGGAAAAUGGAACAGAAUCCAAUUCUUCACAAUUCUAAAACGUAUUCAUGAUAUGCUAGGCCAAACUAAGCACUACAAUGAGCUGUUGAAAAAUGGACAAGUGCACAAAGCAAAAAGUAACGAAUAGACAUAAAGCAAAAGAUACCUUCCUCAAUUAUUCAAUUAGUGGAGUCAUACUUUUUGAAAAGAGAAACGAGGACAGUUUUGCUUCUUGUAGAUUAGCUGAAACAUAGUUGUACUAAUUUCAAGCAAUCACUGAUCAUUCUUGUUUGCAAAUUACUCUCAACAUUCAACAGGUAAAGUAAGUUCUAUCUUAGUAGUUGAAGAUAGAAAAAUUUAUCUUCUCAUCAAAAUCAUUUUGUGUUUCCUUGUUUUGAUUUGCAGAUUUCAGAAAUGGAGGUUGGCUUAGCAGUUGGUGGUGCAUUUCUUCUCUUCAGCUUUGAAUGUUCUCUUUGAUAGGCUUGCUCCUCAGGGUGAUCUUCUCAACAUGUUUCACAAGCAUAAGCAUCAUGUUCGGCUCUUCAAGAAGCUGAAAAUGACUUUACUUGGUCUUCAAGCUGUUCUAAGUGAUGCAGAGAAUAAGCAGGCAUCAAAUCAAUUUGUGAGCCAGUGGCUUGAUGAGCUUCGAGAUGCUGUGGACAUUGCUGAAAACUUAAUUGAACAAGUCAAUUAUGAAGUUUUGAGGCUUAAGGUUGAAGGUCAGCAUCAGAAUCUUGCAGAAGCAAGCAAUCAGCAAGUAAGUGACCUUGACCUGUGCUUAAGUGAUGAUUUUUUUCUUAACAUAAAGGAGAAGUUGGAAGACACCAUGGAAACAUUGGAGGAUUUGGAAAAGCAAAUUGGCCGCCUUGGCUUAAACGAGCAUUUUGGUUCGACUAAACAAGAAACUAGAACACCUUCAACUUCUUUGGUUAAUGAAUCUGAUAUCUUUGGUAGGCAGAGCGAAACAGAGGAUUUGAUUGACCGUUUAUUGUCUGAAGAUGCAAGUGGAAAAAAUCUGACUGUAGUUUCUAUUGUUGGAAUGGGUGGCGUGGGUAAGACAACACUUGCUAAAGCGGUUUACAAUGAUGAGAGGGUGAAGAACCAUUUUUGUUUGAAAGCUUGGUAUUGUGUUUCUGAGGCAUAUGAUGCUUUCAGAAUAACAAAAGGGUUACUUCAAGAAAUUGGCUCAUUUGACUUAAAGGAUGACAACAAUCUUAAUCAGCUACAAGUCAAAUUGAAGGAAAGCUUAAAGGGAAAGAAGUUUCUUAUUGUAUUGGAUGAUGUGUGGAAUGAAAACUACAAUGAGUGGGAUGACUUGAGAAAUAUUUUUGUACACGGAGAUAUAGGAAGUAUGAUAAUUGUAACGACACGUAAAGAGCGUGUUGCCUUGAUGAUGGGUAGUGGGGCAAUCAACGUGGGGACUCUGUCUGAUGAAGUCUCUUGGGAACUAUUCAAACGACAUUCACUAGAAAACAGGGAUCCUGAGGAACAUCCAGAACUUGUAGAGGUUGGAAAACAAAUUGCACACAAGUGCAAAGGAUUGCCUUUAGCUCUAAAGGUACUUGCUGGUAUUUUACGCUGCAAAUCAGAGGUGGAUGAGUGGAGAGACAUUUUUGAGAAGUGAAAUAUGGGAGCUUCCAAGUUGUUCGAAUGGUAUAUUACCAGCGCUAAUGUUGAGCUACAAUGAUCUUCCUGCACAUUUGAAGCAAUGUUUUGCUUAUUGUGCAAUAUAUCCUAAAGAUUAUGAAUUUUGCAAAGACCAAGUUAUUCACUUGUGGAUUGCUAAUGGUCUUGUACAUCAGUUGCAUUAUGGUAACCAAUACUUUCUCGAGUUGAGAUCAAGAUCACUGUUCGAAAGGGUCCCAAAGUCUGCAUGGAAACUGGAAGUAUUCUUAAUGCAUGACCUUGUCAAUGAUUUGGCCCAAAUUGCAUCUUCAAAUCUUUGUAUAAGGUUGGAAGAGAACAAAGGAUCGCAUAUGUUGGAACAAUGUCGGCACAUGUCCUAUUCAAUAGGAGAAGGUGGUGAGUUUGAGAAAUUGAAAUCACUCUUUAAAUCAGAGCAGCUGAGGACAUUACUUCCAAUCAAUAUGCCUUUCUAUUGCCAAAAUAAGCUAAGCAAGAGGGUGCUGCAUAACAUUUUGCCAAGACUAACAUCCUUAAGGGCAUUAUCGUUGUUACGCUAUGAAAUUGUUGAGUUGCCAAAUGACUUAUUUAUCGAAUUAAAGCUCCUGAGAUUUUUGGAUAUUUCUCGGACAAAGAUUAAAAGGUUGCCAGAUUCCAUUUGUGUGUUGUAUAACUUAGAGACACUUCUCCUUUCAUCUUGUGAUUAUCUUGAGGAGCUACCGCUGCAGAUGGAGAAGUUGAUCACCUUGCGUCAUCUUGACAUAAGCAACACUCGUGCCUUGAAGAUGCCACUAUAUCUGAGCAAGUUGAAAAGCCUCCAAGUGUUAGUGGGAGCCAAGUUUCUCUAGGUGGUUCGAGAAUGGAAGAUUUGGGUGAAGUACAUAACUUGUACGGAUCUCUAUCAGUUGUAGAGUUGCAAAAUGUGGUUGAUAGUAGGGAAGCUGUGAAGGCAAAAAUGAGAGAGAAGAAUCAUGUUGAGCAGUUAUCUUUGGAGUGGAGUGGAAGUAGUAGUGCCGACAAUUCACAAACAGAAAGAGACAUACUUGAUGAGCUACGCCCACAUAAAAACAUAAAAGAAGUCGAGAUCACCGGAUAUAGAGGGACAACAUUUCCAAAUUGGCUAGCUGAUCCUUUGUUUCUUAAUCUAGUAGAGUUGUCUAUUGAUAACUGCAAGAACUGUUAUUCCUUGCCAGCACUAGGACAACUCCCUUGUUUGAAAUUCCUUUGGAUUAGAGGGAUGCAUGGAAUAACAGAGGUGACGGAAGAAUUCUAUGGCAAUUUGUCCUCCAAAAAGCCUUUUAGCUCUCUUCAGGAGCUUGGAUUUGUUGAUAUGCCGGAGUGGAAGCAAUGGAACAUACUAGGAAUUGGAGAGUUCCCUAUACUUGAGAACCUUUCAAUUAUAAAUUGCCCUGAAGUCUGUUUGGAGAGACCCAUCCAACUUUCAUGUUUAAAAAGGUUUGCAGUUUGUGGUUGUCCUAAGGUUGGAGAAGCUCAAAUGUUUAGAUCCCAACUUGAGGGAAUGAAGGAGAUUGAGAAUUUAGAAAUUAGUGAUUGUAACUCUGUUACCUCCUUUCCUUUUAGCAUACUGCCCACUACCUUGAAGAGAAUAACCAUAUAUCGUUGCGAGAAAUUGAAAUUGGAGGUGCCAGUUGAUGAGAUGAGUAUGUUUCUGGAGGAAUUGACACUGUAUAAAUGUGAUUGUAUAGAUGAUAUAUCACCUGAGUUUUUCCCAACAGCACGCCAUUUGAAUGUAGAGGAUUGCCACAACCUUACUAGGGUUUUGAUUCCUACUGCCACUGAAAGACUCACUAUUUUGAAUUGUGAGAAUCUUAAAAUACUUUCGGUUGCAUGUGGGGGAACCCAGAUGACAAUUUUGUAUAUUGAGGGCUGUUGGAAGCUGAAGUGGCUGCCAGAACGUAUGCAGCAACUCCUUCCAUCUCUUAAGGAACUGUAUCUCUAUAAUUGUCCAGAAAUAGAGUCCUUUCCUGAAGGAGGAUUGCCCUUCAAUUUACAAGCCCUUUGGAUCAGAAAUUGCAAGAAACUGGUGAAUGGCCGAAAGGAGUGGAGUUUACAGAGACUCUCCUGUCUCAGAGAGUUAUCCAUCGUACAUGAUGGCAAUGACGAAGAGAUUGUUGGUGGUGAGAAUUGGGAGUUACCUUCCUCUAUUCAAAGACUUACCAUAGAGAAUCUGAAAACAUUAAGCAGCCAACAUCUCAAAAGCCUCACCUCUCUUCAAUAUCUAUGUAUUCGUAAUUUACCUCAAAUUCAGUCACUGCUGGAACAAGGGUGGCUUCCCUCGCCUCUUUCUGAGCUACGUUUAUAUCACCAUCAUGAGCUCCAUUCACUAGGUCUUUGGCACCUCACUUCGCUUCAAAUUCUACACAUCAUUAAUUGCCCUAAUCUCCAAUCACUUUCCGAAUCAGCACUGCCCUCUUCCCUCUCUAAACUACAUAUUCGCGACUGCGCAUUGCUCACACCACUACUAGAAUUUGACAAGGGGGAAUACUGGCCAGAAAUUUCUCAUAUCUCCACCAUACAGAUCAAUGAGGAAUACCUUUAAUGAUUAAAACAACUGUAAGUUUUUCUUUUUCCUCAUAAGCCUUUUAUUAUUUUUUCAACUUCUCUUUGCUUUUAUGUUAAUGCUUUUUCUUUAUUACAUUCUUGUUUCGCAGUAUGGAGUGUCUAUUGCCACUAUGAAGCUGAUGAUUUUAAUUUUAGAACUCAAUAGCAAUUAAUGUUACAUAUCUUACUCGAAGAUUUUUAUCGCUUGAACUUUCAUCUCAAUAGCAAGUCAUGUAUACUUGUUCUUUCCCUUUUCAGUGAGUUUAGAGUGAUGCACAUGUCCACUAUCAAAUUCAAAACUCUUAAUAGAAUUCAAAGGUGUACCAUACACAAGAUGUGUUUCAGUGAGUUUAGAGUGAUGCACAUGUCCACUAUUCAGGUUUUUAUUAAUGAUUCAGCCCCAUCGUAGAGAUCGAUUGGGAAUACCUGUGAUGAUUAAAACAAAUGGCUCUCCAACUGAUGUAAGUUAUUCUUUUCCAUCAGAAGCUUUUUAUUUUUGUUUUCAUUUUGCUUUUUUGUUGAUUCUUUUCCUUUAUAAAACCUUGUUGAGCAGUGUAGAAUGCCUAUUGCUCAAAUCAUAAAUCUUGAUUAGGAGAACCCUGUAAUGAUUAAAACGAGUUCUGCUCCGAUAGAUGUAAGUUAUUCUAUUUCCUUAAAUGUAACUAAUAUUCACUGGAUAUUCUAUUUCCUUAGUAUAUUUUGAUUGAGAUAAUUUGCUCAAGAAAGUUGAUUGCUUAAUAUAUGUUAUCACCUUUGGAGAUAUAGGGUCCAAGAAAUGCAACCUCACUUUCUCAAUCAGGUAGCCAACACAUUGAUAAAAGUUAUAUCAAGCUUCAAAUUUAAAGAAAUUGAAAACGACUUUGAAUAUCUGCUUCCAUUAUUUUACGCCAUGUUGUACCACAUUGAUUUCAAGUUUGAUUCCACUGCAUAAUUACAUCAGUUUUUUUUUUGUUUUGAUAUUCAAUUAUCUAGAAUAUUACAUCACUUUUUGGUUUUGAUAGUCAGAGAACUUUGAAGAUUAUGAAGUUUCCUUCAAAUUAAGCCCAUUACUCAACCUCGAGUGACACCUCAGAGCUAGCGGAAAGUCAAGAAAGUUUAUCCUGCUCGGGAUGAAGUUAAUGUUAGAUAACAAAAUAAUGAUUUACUCGUGUUUCAGUUACUAAGAUUCUUAUUUUGUAGUAAUAUUUUGGACUCUCAUAACUCAGUGACAUGGAUUUCCUUCAUUGGCACCCUCAUCAGUCAUCAAUCAGUGAAACAGAGAAAUCGACUGUUUCAAAACUCUCUGAAACCCAUUUUGAGCUUCAUGCCUUCAAUUCCGAUGAAACCCAAAAGGCAUCAACAGAGUAGAAGAAUUCAACCCAAAACCCAUUUCAACCCAAGUUUUCUAUUCCUGCUUCACCUGAUAGGAAGAAGUUUACGUAUGAGAAAGGUCUAAAGGUACAAAUAUUUUUUCUUCUCCUUUUCUUACUGUGGUGCUUAAAUUGGUUUUGUCCCACUUUGCAUCACAAUGAUGUUGGAGUAUAUCGGUUUUCUACUGGUAUUCAGAUACUUAAAAUGGAAAAUUGCUUUGGAAAAUAUCGUUUCAUUGUUCGAAAGUUGUUUAACAUACAAUUGGCAUCUGUUGAUCCAAUUUUUUCAUUUUUCUGUUAAUCUUCUUCUAUCCUUAGUUUACAUGUCUUCUGAUUGAGUUAUAAUACAUGCCUUGAUUCUAUUGAAGAUGAGAAAUCGUCAAAUGCCUUUAUGAAGUGUUUGCUAAGUUGAUGUCGCCUAAUUCACAUUUCACUGAAUUAAUUUCUGACCCAAGUUUAUGCAUAUGUUUGGUCUAACAUUGAAAAGGAAAAAUGUCGAAUGAUAUGGAUAUUUUUGUUUUUAAGAAUACAAAGUCACUAUAAAGGUAGAAAAUUUCGAUGGUAUUAAUUUUGAUAUGCAUCACCAUUGAGAACUUUGCCUGAGGUAUUAAUUUCUAUUUUCGCUGUUUAGAAAUGUUUAAUGUAACUCCUAAUUGUGAUGCUUCAUUCACACAUUUUUGAAAUAUAUUACAUAGAAAAUAUGCUUCUAUCCAAGGAAAAUUAUAUCUGCCUAGCUCUAACCUCCAGUACGUGUAUUCAUGAAUAAAAUGAUAGAAAAUGGAAACAAGGAAGGAAAACAUGUGCUGUUUGUUCUCGAUUUUUAAAUAUUGUAUCCUCUUUCGCUUCUGUUUUUCAUUUGCUCUCCUAGCUAAUAGUCUUUUAUUUACUGAAUAAUCAUAUGUUAUAUGUCUCCUUAAGUUCCUGUAUUUUUUAUUUCACAAACUUCACAUAAGCAUACAAGUAAUUGCAAUAGUUUAUUUGUGCUUCCAGAUUCGUUUAGUGUGAGGUCUGAUUUUUCUUUUUCCUUUUACAGCUAUUAGGAAAAGCUUGCCUAUGUGGCUCUUGACUAUGAGCAGGAGAUUGAAACUGCCAGGAGCAGCUCCUCCACUGAAAAGAACUAUGAAUUGCCUGAUGGACAAGUUAUUGCCUUUGGUGCUGAGAGGUUCCAUUGCCCAGAGGUCCUCUUCCAGCCAACGAUCCUUCCCGUGCGUUGAUCGUGGAUAAGACACUCAGAAGAAGAAAAGAUGACACGAAGAUGGUUAGCUGCAACAUGACUGACAGAAAUUUCUUUAUAGGAGGAAAAUGGAAUCUAUCAUGAAGAAUCCGGGAUGAAGACAUAGACCCACAGUGUGAAAGAGGUAAGAGAGUUUCAUCUACAAUGUUAACAGAAACUUUAAUAGGUAAAGGAGGCAGACAAUAGCAAUUGAUUAUCGUUUAGUGAUUAUCUUGCUUGUUAUAAACAUCAGGAGCAUUUGAUGGUAAGAUGUCAUAUAUCUUGGUAUCUAACAGGUACCCUGGGGUAUUAAUGAGUGAGGUUGAGGAUGGAAAGCCAUUCAGCCAAGUUGUUAAUGCUGCUAAAAGCCUUGGCUACACUAUUAAUGUUUGUAAAAUCACCAUAUAUAUGAGAAUUGAAGAUAUGACUUACAAAAACAGAAAGUUGUCGAUUGAAUAUAUGAUAUUGUCUAUUCAUAAUUAUGUGUAGUCUUACAUUUUUGUUUAUAUGUUGCUCUUUCUAUGAGUAAUUUCCACUCGUUUUCCUGUCAGGCAAGUGUUCCUCUGGUACAAUAAUAUUUUCUGGCCUUCUGCUUAGGAAGUUUGUCUAGGACUAAUUUGAAUGUGAGAGAAGUCAGAGAAACACGAGAAGCGAUUAAGAGAAUGUGUAAUACAAAUGUCUUACACAUGAAUUCUUCUUUUAUAUGCUCACUUUACGGUGCAUCUUCAUACAUUUGUCCAAUGUGGUGAACAUGCACAUACAACUCUAUAUUACAAUUAUCUCUUGUUAUUUACAUUUAGCUAUCUGAUUCUCCCCUCUAGCUGGUGCGUACAUGUAACCUGUAUAGGAUUUGAUGAAUAUGUCUAUAAGUUGAUCGGUCGACUUUCCAAACUUUAUAAGAGUGUCGUGAAAGCAUUUUUUGGGGAAGGGACAGUCGGUUUCUAUAUGCUUGGUCCUCUUGUCAGAUUCUGCAUACAAUGGAUACAAGUACAACUUGAUUAAUUAUCACACUCAAGUUUUGUUAUGAUCAAAUUUCAAUUGUUAGAGAAAAAUGUAUCUCAGGUUUAACUCUGCCCAAAAGUUACCUCAUGACAUGCGGAUUGCCAAAGAUCACAUAAAGAGAUUACAACAAAACAUCCUCAACUGAAGUGAGACUAACAUCUUAAUUCUUAUCGCUUGCACAGGGCGGAACAUAUGAAGUAUGUAUAACAUAACACAGGGGGGCUUAACAUUGGGUAAUAACUAAACACUAGGGAUGAGCUUGAGUGAGAUAUCAUUAAGAAAAUGGACUUUGUGCCUAACCCAGUCCAGAAAGCUAGUCCAAGAUCAUAUAAGGGUACCUUUAACCAAUGUGGUAAACUAACAGCAACCAUUUUCGAUCCUUUUGGUGGUUGUUAAUCUAUGUGCUCAUCGUUACCAUAGUCAUGACCCAAUAUUCUCUUUCUUCUAUAUUGCCCAAUUGCCUGAAAGUAUUAUAGUAUUUAGAAGUAAAACGUAUAUAAAGAAGGUAUCACUGUCCAUUUUGCAUCGUAAUUGUCUUUGAUUUUUGUUGAUAAUCCUUUCCAAGAGCAGGCUUCCUACCCCAAAAUUCUGUUUCCAGCUGGAUUAUAUAAGAAAUUUGGAGCCAUUCAAAACUUCUAAGGAGAUUCUAGUUCCUGUUCUAAUAAAGAAAUAAUGUCUUCAAUGCAUUGUCAAGAUGCAGUCAAUUUUCUAGCAGCAGUUAGCAGGAACCGUACAUCCAUCCCAAAAUAUCAUUAUGGAAGAAAUCGCUGACACUACACUUCAUCUCAAUUCUCAUUAGGAUAGUUGAAGUAUGAAGUUAUUCUUAUGUAUUUAUACUUAUCUGCAGAUCCUCGGGAUGAUCUAGGUGGUAUGGAUGCAGCAAGAAAGGUUAGGAAACGUCUUUCUUCUGAUUAAACUUACAGUGUCCAAGAUUUCAAUCCAUUUAUAUUGCCAAAUUAUUAUGCUGAUUAAGCAUUAUCUUUCUUUUUUCUUUAUCUGAACUUACCUGCAGUCUUACAGUAUGCAUAAUUGAUACAAUUAUUCUAUUUUGCAAAGGCUGGCUAUGAUAUUAUGUAAAAAGGCUGGCUAUGAUAUUAUGUGAAAAGAUCUGAGCUUCCAAUAUUGGAGACCCUAUAACCUUUAAAAUCCUCUGUUCAACCCAUAUGCAACAACUAUAUAACUCAACUGGAAAUGGCUAAGAAUCAAAUAUACGAUACUCCAAGACCACUCAAUUCUUUGUUUAUAAGCCAACAUAAACAAUAUGAUACAAUUAUUCUGUUUUGCAAUGUCAACUGCAACGAGUCUGAACCAUUGAAUUAACCAUCUAAAAGAACGUAAUUAAAAGUAAAUUUUGAAAAAAGAACGAAAAACUAGUUGAGUGAUUGGUGAUUAUCAUUUGCUUAUUCUGUUUUUUCCCCUUAUCAUGGUUACUUGUAAGUAUAAUCUCGUAAGGAAAAAAAACAUUCAAGCCAGUCCCAUCUGGAUAUAAAAUUCAAGGUUUCUUCUAGUCUGUGAUUCUGCUAUUCUCUUUUGUAUCAUGAAAAGUGUCUCGUUAGCUAUAGUCAUAUGUGCAUGAGAGUGUAGAGGGAGCAUCUCUGCUUCAUAUUUCAAGUACUUUGUUAUAAUCUUUCCUUAAUUUGUAUUUGGGAUGAUGAUGUCUUUGGGGGGUAGAAAAGCUGUGAUUAAGCCAGAAUCAUUUUCGCAGAUUGCGAUGGGAAGCAUAUCUUAUCCAACUUAAUAUAGUUAAUACUUGGUUUCUCGGUACCUUUCAUGAAACGUUCAUAGUUCUAAUUGGUUCUGUAAAUUUUGAGAAGUUGAACAUCCCUCAUAACAAUAUUUUGUUUUGAUGUCUUCAUAACAGGCUCUAAUUCUUGCUCGGCUCCUUGGACGACGUUUAAACCUAGAUAAUAUGAAGGUUAGGAUACAUGUCACCAUGUCUCUUUGUUUUGUUACUAGCUCAAUUAGCUUCAGAAACCUUGAUGCAUAUGCAAAUCCCUUUUCAGAUUGAAAGCUUGUAUCCUGAAGAAAUGGGACCAGAUGUGAUGCCUCUGGAAGACUUUCUAGUGAAUGGCCUUCCCUUACUUGAUAAGAAAAUUGAAGAUAGGACUAAACAAGCUUGAAUUUUCUGCGUUAGUUUGCUUGAUGAUGAUGCGUGGUAAUUCUUUCACUUCAUUUUUAGUUUGCUCAAUGGAUAAUGACAACUUGAUCUUUUAUUCUAAUCACAUUCUGCAAGUCACCAUACCUCUAGCAGCUUAAAGCAAAGCUUGCUCACUGACGGGAGUGUUAUGGUCAGUUGUUCACCUCUCGUAUCCACGACCAAUUAAAGAACGAGUUAGAAGUAUAAAUCUGUAAUGGCAUAGAUGAGGGAACAUUGAACUAUCUUUAAAUGAUAGUUCCAAAAUAUUUUCAUUAAUUAGUUCUUUUUUCAUGUAUUUAGGGUUGGGAAGGUGGCAGAUGGGUAUGCAGAAUUAUCAUAUUUUUUUCUUGAGACUUAUGUUGAGAAAAUUGUUAUAAGCUCUUGUAUUUAGUAUAACAUCAAUUGAAAAUUGGGAAGCAAAAACUUGUCGGCUCAUUCUACAUAAGACCUAUGUUUGGAUUUACAAAAACAACAUACCCAAUGUAACCCCACAAGUGGGGUUUGGGGAGGAUAGGAUGUAUGCAGACCUUGUCUGGAUUUGUUUGAAUAUAAUUCACUAACAUGUUCAUAUGGUAAUGAUGGGUUCGUUUGGAUGCAAAAUGGCAAUGUUAUCCAUACUAGUAGAAACUUAGAAUCUAUCUUUGGUUUCUUUAAGCGGUUUGGUCUCACCUUGUAAGGUUUGAAGUUUCAUUUCUUGUAUUGUCUUGAACAAGUGUAUAUCAAGGAGUAUUUAUUAACUUGUUGGUUGAAGAAAAAAAAUAGAUAUUUCUGUUUAUUGGUUUUUGUCUUCUUGAUAAGUGUCUACUUUAGAACUAUUAUGAAUUGUUCUAGCAAAAUCAACUGCUACAAACAGCUUCACUGAAAACAAAUAGCACAGAAGAAAGUGUCUGGCGGUCUGCUGCUUGGGGAAAAAUUGAUUAUUGAAAACACUUUUGUGUACAUGACAUUAACAUCACUCAUUUUCAGAUAUGAAGUUGGCAUCCAAGAAGUUCCAAAAGAUUUUGCAUUGGGAAGAUUAAGAGGAAGUGAUAAUGUGGUGCGCAUUGUGCACUUUCACCUCCCAUUUUGCUGUUUCUUUGGUCCCUCUUCUUUUUGUUCCAUUACUUUGUUUUCCGUUGGGAAUUUUCUUUUAACUGCUAUGGAGGUUCAACCAUAUCAUACUCGUCGUUAUUAGAUUAUCAAGGUAAAACAUUUUUAAUUGUUUAAAGCCCUUUUGUGAUGUCAUUUUUGUAGUGAUGUAUUACAUCAUGCUGUGAUUUUAAAGAAUUGCUCAUCUUUUACCCAUGCCUAAGGCGAACGCUUUACUUUGUCUUUACUCUUUACACAUCAUCUGGUGUCGCCCUGCAAAACUUUGUGCAGUUAAGGUCUUUGAUUCUAUUCUACCUUAAUCGUAGAAUGUAUCCCUUGUACUAAUUAGGAGGUAAUACAAACAGUAAGAUUAAUGACUUGGUUUUGUCGAAGAAUGACUAUGAUGAUUGAACGUCUGUAAUUUGGAUUGUUUGUCUACAGGUGGAGAUAUACAGCCGUUGUUACGAGAAACAACCUUUGGUUAUCCAAGGCGCUGGAGCAGGAAAUGAUACCACAGCAGCUGGUGUCCUAGCUGAUAUCCUUGACAUUCAAGAUUUAUUCCCUUGACCGAGUAUUAUACACUGAGAUACAAACAUUCGAUCCUCAAAGGAUGAAAAAUCGACUCUUCUUGUCCCUCUGCUUCAAUCAUUGAAGACUGAAAUCAGGCUCAUUUAGCACAUCCAUUUUUUGAAAAAAAAUUCGACACGUGAGAGUGCGUUGUCAGUUUAUGGAAAAUUAUUGCACGAUUUCUCGCGUCUAUCUUGUCACUAGUGAAAUUGAUCAUAUAUUUGCCUCAUUGCUUGACUAGUUUUUAAGAUUUCACUUCAGCUUAUAAUCAGUUUAUGUUGUAAUGACCAUUUUGGUACCUAAACUUUUUAUGUUACUACAAUUUUAGAGACUUAGUUAUUAUGCUUUCAGAAUAACAAAAGGGUUAAUACAACGUGUAGGAUGACUUGAGAAAUCUUUUUGUACAAGGAGAUAU
This 22946-nucleotide long non-coding RNA is filed under the name Solanum tuberosum (potato). RNAcentral describes it as "long non-coding RNA (STUB_LNC011001)". Lineage: Eukaryota; Viridiplantae; Streptophyta; Magnoliopsida; Solanales; Solanaceae. The record is from RNAcentral.